AUUGAACGCUGGCGGCAUGCCUUACACAUGCAAGUCGAACGGUAACAGGUCUUCGGAUGCUGACGAGUGGCGCACGGGUGAGUAAUACAUCGGAACGUGCCUAGUAGUGGGGGAUAAGUACUAGAAAGAGUGGCUAAUACCGCAUGAGAUCUACGGAUGAAAGCAGGGGAUCGCAAGACCUUGUGCUACUAGAGCGGCCGAUGGCAGAUUAGGUAGUUGGUGGGAUAAAAGCUUACCAAGCCGACGAUCUGUAGCUGGUCUGAGAGGACGAUCAGCCACACUGGGACGGGGACACGGCCCAGACUCCUACGGGAGGCAGCAGUGGGGAAUUUUGGACAAUGGGCGCAAGCCUGAUCCAGCAAUGCCGCGUGCAGGAUGAAGGCCUUCGGGUUGUAAACUGCUUUUGUACGGAACGAAAAGCCCCGGGUUAAUACCCUGGGGUCAUGACGGUACCGUAAGAAUAAGCACCGGCUAACUACGUGCCAGCCGCCGCCGUAA
This 498-nucleotide ribosomal RNA is filed under the name uncultured bacterium. Its description in RNAcentral is "partial 16S ribosomal RNA". It matches the Rfam family "Bacterial small subunit ribosomal RNA", at positions 30 to 523 of the family's 1533-position model. The record is from RNAcentral.